GACGAACGCUGGCGGCGUGCUUAACACAUGCAAGUCGAACGAAGAGCGAUGGAAGCUUGCUUCUAUCAGUCGUAGUGGCGAACGGGUGAGUAAGGAGUAAUCAACCUGCCCUGGGGAAGGGGACAGCAGUUGGAAACGACUGCUAAUACCGCAUACGAGCUAAUCUGGGCAUCGAGGAUAGAUGAAAGGUGGCCUCUACAUGUAAGCGAUCACGGAAGGAGGGGAUGUCGUGGGCUUAGCUAGCUGGUGGGGUAACGGCCCCCCAAGGCGAGGAUUAGUAGCCGGUCUGAGAGGAGGAACCGACACAUUGGGAAUGAGACACGGGCCAGGACCCUACGGGAGGGAGCAGUGGGGGAUCUUCCGAAAAGGACGAAAGUCUGACGCCGCAACGCCGCGUGAGGGAUGGAGGCCCUCGGGUUGUAAAGCUCUGUUAAGCUGGACGAAAGGCCAUCUUGCGAAUACUGAGAAGGAUUGACGGUACCGACAUAGAAAGCCACGGCUAACUACGUG
This 510-nucleotide ribosomal RNA is filed under the name uncultured bacterium. RNAcentral's name for it is "partial 16S ribosomal RNA". It matches the Rfam family "Bacterial small subunit ribosomal RNA", at positions 28 to 507 of the family's 1533-position model. The record is from RNAcentral.